This 75-nucleotide transfer RNA is filed under the name Pseudomonadota bacterium. RNAcentral describes it as "tRNA-Gly". It matches the Rfam family "tRNA". Rfam says of the family: Transfer RNA (tRNA) molecules are approximately 80 nucleotides in length. Their secondary structure includes four short double-helical elements and three loops (D, anti-codon, and T loops). RNAcentral also lists the same sequence under 1 other name. The record is from RNAcentral. Lineage: Bacteria; Pseudomonadati; Pseudomonadota.
GCGGAAGUAGUUCAGAGGUAGAACGUCUGCUUGCCAAGCAGAAGGUCGCGAGUUCGAAUCUCGUCUUCCGCUCCA